GAUGAACGCUAGCGGCAGGCCUAACACAUGCAAGUCGAGGGAGAGGUUACCUUCGGGUAACCAAAACCGGCGCACGGGUGCGUAACGCAUAAACAAUCGGCCUUUCACAUAGGGAUGGCCCAAAGAAUUUGGGAUUAUCCUUAGGGGUUUUUAAGAGGGCCACUGUUUUUUUUAUUAAGUUUCCGGGGGUAAAAAAGAAAAAUC
Molecule: ribosomal RNA, 204 nt
Filed under: uncultured Comamonadaceae bacterium
Lineage: Bacteria; Pseudomonadati; Pseudomonadota; Betaproteobacteria; Burkholderiales; Comamonadaceae
Description: partial 16S ribosomal RNA
Rfam family: Bacterial small subunit ribosomal RNA
Source: RNAcentral